GAUGAAGAACGUAGCGAAAUGCGAUACGUAAUGUGAAUUGCAGAUUUCAGUGAAUCAUCGAAUCUUUGAACGCACAUUGCGCCCGCCAGUAUUCUGGCGGGCAUGCCUGUUCGAGCGUCAUUUCAACCAUCAAGCCCUAGGCUUGCGUUGGAGCCCUGCGGCUGCCGCAGGCUCCCAAAUCCAGUGGCGGGCUCGUCGUCGUACCGAGUGCAGUAAACAUCCUCGCUCAGGGAACGUGACGGGUUCUUGCCGUGAAACCCCCCACAUAUCAAGGUUGACCUCGGAUCAGGUAGGAAUACCCGCUGAACUUAAGCAUAUCAAUAAGCGGAGGA
This 332-nucleotide unclassified non-coding RNA is filed under the name soil metagenome. Its description in RNAcentral is "partial contains 5.8S ribosomal RNA, internal transcribed spacer 2, and large subunit ribosomal RNA". The stretch from base 1 to 120 matches the Rfam family "5.8S ribosomal RNA", at positions 35 to 154 of the family's 154-position model. The record is from RNAcentral.